GUCAAAAUCAUCCUCCAAUUUACGCUUCGACCGCUCGGUGCGGUUCUGAUUUUGAUUGUUUUCACCAUCGGCUGCAUCAUCGUCGUCAGGAUUAUCACCAUCAGUGUUCAGAGAAAUGUCGAUGGCGCCCCAAUCGGCGCCAAAGAGAACGGAAGUAGGGCUGACAUGGAGAAGAAUAACAGCAUCACCGGGGCGAAGGUAGUGUUGGACAGCCCAGCGGACUGCAAAAGCACUCUCUUCAGAAAGGUCGACGGCGACGCCUACCUUCCGGCGGGCGCCAGCGGUAGGGGUGGGUGUGGCGGCGGGGGUG
Molecule: unclassified non-coding RNA, 310 nt
Filed under: Hevea brasiliensis (rubber tree)
Lineage: Eukaryota; Viridiplantae; Streptophyta; Magnoliopsida; Malpighiales; Euphorbiaceae
Source: RNAcentral